AGAGUUUGAUCCUGGCUCAGAACUAACGCUGGCGGCGUGUCUUAGUCAUGCAAGUCGAACGAGAAAGCGUUCUUCGGAACGUGAGUACAGUGGCGGACGGGUAAGUAACACGUGGGGAACCUGCCCUCAAGCUGGGAACAACCCGCCUAACGGCGGGCUAAUACCGAAUGUGGUUGUCAGUCCGCAUGGUAUGACAACUAAAGGUGGCCUCUCCUUGGAAGCUACCGCUUGUGGAUGGCCCCGCGCUCAAUUAGCUAGUUGGUAGGGUAACGGCCUACCAAGGCGACGAUUGAUAGCCGACCUGAGAGGGUGAUCGGCCACACUGGGAUUGAGAUAAGGCCCAGUCUCCUACGGGAGCCAGCAGUCUAGAAAUUUGGGCAAUGGGCGAAAGCCUGACCCAGCGACGCCGCGUGGGGGAUGGAGCUUCUCGGAGUGUAAACCCCUGUUAGGUGGGACGAAAGCCCGUAUACGAAUAGUAGGCGGGUUUGACGGUACCACCAGAGGAAGCUCCGGCUAACUCCGUGCCACCAGCCGCGGUAAUACGGGGGGGAGCAAGCGUUGUUCGGAGUUUAUUGGGGCGUAAAGGGCGUACAGGCGGUGGUGUCA
RNAcentral lists this ribosomal RNA (606 nucleotides) under uncultured bacterium. Its description in RNAcentral is "SSU rRNA". It matches the Rfam family "Bacterial small subunit ribosomal RNA", at positions 8 to 586 of the family's 1533-position model. The record is from RNAcentral.